This 76-nucleotide transfer RNA is filed under the name Blastopirellula marina. Its description in RNAcentral is "tRNA-Pro". It matches the Rfam family "tRNA". Rfam says of the family: Transfer RNA (tRNA) molecules are approximately 80 nucleotides in length. Their secondary structure includes four short double-helical elements and three loops (D, anti-codon, and T loops). RNAcentral also lists the same sequence under 1 other name. Lineage: Bacteria; Pseudomonadati; Planctomycetota; Planctomycetia; Pirellulales; Pirellulaceae. The record is from RNAcentral.
CAGGGUGUGGGAAAGCUUGGUUUAAUCCGCGUGCUUCGGGCGCACGAGAUCGCUGGUUCGACUCCAGCCAUCCUGA